Molecule: ribosomal RNA, 497 nt
Filed under: uncultured bacterium
Lineage: Bacteria
Description: partial 16S ribosomal RNA
Rfam family: Bacterial small subunit ribosomal RNA
Source: RNAcentral
GAUGAACGCUGGCGGCGUGCCUAAUACAUGCAAGUCGAGCGAACGGACGAGAAGCUUGCUUCUCUGAUGUUAUCGGCGGACGGGUGAGUAACACGUGGAUAACCUACCUAUAAGACUGGGAUAACUUCGGGAAACCGGAGCUACUACCGGAUAAUAUUUUGAACCGCAUGGUUCAAAAGUGAAAGACGGUCUUGCGGUCACUUAUAGAUGGAUCCGCGCUGCAUUAGCUAGUUGGUAAGGUAACGGCUUACCAAGGCAACGAUGCAUAGCCGACCUGAGAGGGUGAUCGGCCACACUGGAACUGAGACACGGUCCAGACUCCUACGGGAGGCAGCAGUAGGGAAUCUUCCGCAAUGGGCGAAAGCCUGACGGAGCAACGCCGCGUGAGUGAUGAAGGUCUUCGGAUCGUAAAACUCUGUUAUUAGGGAAGAACAUAUGUGUAAGUAACUGUGCACAUCUUGACGGUACCUAAUCAGAAAGCCACGGCUAACUACGUG